UCCGGUGGUCAUGGCGGAGGGGAAACACCCGGUCUCUUUCCGAACCCGGUAGUUAAGCCCUCCAGCGCCGAUGGUACUGCAUGGGAGACCGUGUGGGAGAGUAGGACACCGCCGGAA
RNAcentral lists this ribosomal RNA (117 nucleotides) under Thermomonospora umbrina. Lineage: Bacteria; Bacillati; Actinomycetota; Actinomycetes; Streptosporangiales; Thermomonosporaceae. The record is from RNAcentral.